GACGAACGCUGGCGGCGUGCCUAAUACAUGCAAGUAGAACGCACAGUUUAUACCGUAGCUUGCUACACCAUAGACUGUGAGUUGCGAACGGGUGAGUAACGCGUAGGUAACCUGCCUGGUAGCGGGGGAUAACUAUUGGAAACGAUAGCUAAUACCGCAUAAUAUUAAUUAUUGCAUGAUAAUUAAUUGAAAGGUGCAAUUGCACCACUACCAGAUGGACCUGCGUUGUAUUAGCCAGUAGGUGAGGUAACGGCUCACCUAGGCGACGAUACAUAGCCGACCUGAGAGGGUGAUCGGCCACACUGGGACUGAGACACGGCCCAGACUCCUACGGGAGGCAGCAGUAGGGAAUCUUCGGCAAUGGACGAAAGUCUGACCGAGCAACGACGCGUGAGUGAAGAAGGUUUUCGGAUCGUAAAGCUCUGUUGUAAGAGAAGAACGGGUGUGAGAGUGGAAAGUUCACACUGUGACGGUAUCUUACCAGAAAGGGACGGCUAACUACGUG
RNAcentral lists this ribosomal RNA (505 nucleotides) under uncultured bacterium. Its description in RNAcentral is "partial 16S ribosomal RNA". It matches the Rfam family "Bacterial small subunit ribosomal RNA", at positions 28 to 507 of the family's 1533-position model. The record is from RNAcentral.